UACGAAGGGGGCUAGCGUUGCUCGGAAUCACUGGGCGUAAAGCGCACGUAGGCGGAUCUUUAAGUUCAGGGGUGAAUCCUGGAGCUCAACUCCAGAACUGCCUCUGAUACUGGGGAUCUUGAGUCCGGAAGAGGUAAGUGGAAUGCGAGUGUAGAGGUGAAAUUCGUAGAUAUUCGCAAGAACACCAGUGGCGAAGGCGGGUCUCUGGGCCGUUACGUGA
Molecule: ribosomal RNA, 220 nt
Filed under: uncultured bacterium
Lineage: Bacteria
Description: partial 16S ribosomal RNA
Rfam family: Bacterial small subunit ribosomal RNA
Source: RNAcentral